This 298-nucleotide unclassified non-coding RNA is filed under the name Phytopseudomonas flavescens. RNAcentral's name for it is "Pseudomonas flavescens Pseudomonas sRNA P20". The stretch from base 92 to 298 matches the Rfam family "PhrS". The record is from RNAcentral. Lineage: Bacteria; Pseudomonadati; Pseudomonadota; Gammaproteobacteria; Pseudomonadales; Pseudomonadaceae.
UCCGUUGACCCAGAUCAGGUGCUGCCGGCCCUUUGCAGCCGGCGCCGCGCUGCCCUUGAUCUGGAUCAAUGGCGUCAGGCGCUGCGCUGUUAACGUAGCCCCAUACCCGAGCAACGGAUGCAGGAGGCAGCAUGUUCGUCGAUGUGGUGGUUCUCGCCGGUAUCGGCACCGUGGGGCUGAUGGUUCUGUUCUGCGCCGGGUUCACGUAUUUCAUCUGGAGAGACGCGAGCAAGAAAAAGCCGCGCUGAAUCCGGAUUCACGAGCACGCAAGGCAUUGGGGCGACUUCGGUCGCCCUUU